GGGUCGUUAGCUCAGUUGGUAGAGCAGUUGACUUUUAAUCAAUUGGUCGCAGGUUCGAAUCCUGCACUAGCUC
Molecule: transfer RNA, 73 nt
Filed under: Escherichia coli 2-222-05_S1_C1
Lineage: Bacteria; Pseudomonadati; Pseudomonadota; Gammaproteobacteria; Enterobacterales; Enterobacteriaceae
Description: tRNA-Lys
Rfam family: tRNA
About the family: Transfer RNA (tRNA) molecules are approximately 80 nucleotides in length.
Source: RNAcentral